AUCCAUGGCUUCACUCUUCCUUCCAACAGCCUGCGGCCGUCGGCGCACCCUUCUUCCAUGGCACUAGAGAUGGAUCUAGCCCCGCCCCGCCCCGCCAGAUGGAGACGCAUACCCGCUCCGCUGGCCGGACGGCAGCAACGUGCGUCCCACAACUACCUACUCCAGAUGGGAAACAGUCCGCGCCCAGUGACUCUCAAAGCGGCCGGAGCGCCAACGUUUGCCGACCUCCAUUGCCUCUUCUCUUCGUCUCAUGGGUGGGUGGGUUUGUUGGUUGGAUCUGUCUCUAUUUUAUGUUACACUAGUAUUACACACGGAUAUUUCCAUCCAUCGAGUAAAACGAAUAUCCCAGCCGCGUCAAGCCCUGUUAGGCCGUCUCCUGUGUGUGUAUGUGCAGAGUUUAUUUGUUUUGUUUUGUUUUAAUCUUCUGUAUGUAUAUCACCGGAGGACAAAGCAAAAGAAAAUAAAUCCAUCUUGAGAAGAAGAUUCACCCGAGUACUGUUUUCAGGUUGUUUGUAUCUGUGGGAAUUUUUCCUACAAGGAUUUCAAACUGUUUGGGAUCUUUCCCAUGCAGUCUAUUGUCUUUUAAGAAAAAAAUAGAUAAAAAUCUUAAACCUCUUCUUGCAAUUCCUUUAUUACUUCUUCUGGUGGUGUAUGUAAAACACUCUUUGAUGAGUUUUUUCUUUUGCCACACCCUUUAGUACCACUUAUUACAGAGAUAACAAUCCAAAGUACAUUUUAUUUGCCUAGCUCUGUCGCUAAGCCUUUUCAUCUUAGCACUUAUACUCACAAACUUUAGUGUCAUUGUUAGUCCACUUUUCGCCAGUGCUAAGGUGAUAUGAGGAUACAUGCUAAGAUUAAAAAACUUAGUGUCCAAUGCUAUGCUAGAUUAAUCUUAAUCAUUUACAGUUAUCCAUUCUAGUUAAAUUGAUAGUUUUACAGUCUAGGUCAUAUGAUUCGUGCCAGGGUAAAUUGAAAGAGAAUAUUAAUGUAAUGUAUUCAUCUUAGCUUCUAUUGUGUCGGUGGUAGAGAUGUGGAAGCUCCAGUCGCUAAAGAGAUGGAGUAAUUUAGCUAGCGUUUGGGUCAUACUUUGGGUUGUGAUUCUUGUUGCUUUGACUUUUUUUUUAGCAUACGAACAUUCAAGUAAGAUCGUGUUGCUUUGAUUUCACUUUUUUUUAUUAAUUCAGUGUGUGCUUCUAUUAGGAUUUUGAUGAUUUUUUCAUCAAGUGAACCAAGCACAUAAUAGGUUGAGAAAAUUGAUGUGUGUAAUAACCGUUGUGAAGGCAUGGUUCUAUCAGAUUGGUGCAUUUUUAAAACAUCCCUUUGUUUGUGAGUUUUUUUUUUAACUCUGUGGUCAUCUUAUGGGGAUAUGCGCACAUAGAGCGAGUGGUUCACAUGUGUGUAGGGUCAGCCUUGUCCCCAUUUUCAUUUUGGUAGCGGUCGAUGUCCACUCGUUCUCUCCCUCUCUAGACAGACAGAUCCAUCCAUGGAGAUCGUCCACAUGUUAUUUGUCUGCAGUUUCCUUACUGUAUGUGUAUGCAUGCUUGCUCUUCAGGACCUUGGAUUCCUUGCCUGUUGCUCAUGACAGGCCGUCUGUUGCUGCAUUUGAUUUCUUUCUUGUGAAGGUGUCCAGAUCCUGAUGCAUGGGGAACUUGAUAUGAACCAUCAACUCCUGGCAUCUUGGAUUUGCCUGUGUUGCAUUAGUUGUCUUGUGAAGAAGAUGUUCAAGUCCUGAUGCAAAGGGAACAACCGUCAACUCAUGGGAUAAAGCAGUCUGAUACUGUAUUGGCUCCACCAAGCCAGUGGGAUCUUGUGUCAGAUAAAACAAAUGAUGCAGGAGGAGCAACCAUUGCAGGUUAUAUUCGAUGCACUGCAUACCAAGUUAAGCUACCGGCCAGCCAUUUAGGACCAAAUGAAGCAAUUCAAAAGUUGUGCUACAUAAAUAGGUUCUUUGACUUGUAAGUCAAAAAUCAAAAGUUACAAGUUAAGCAUAACCAAACACUGGGAAUGGCCGCACCAAAGGUAAGAAAAGGUGACAUCAUCUGAAAGUUAGCAUAUACAUUUUGCUAGAUAUAUCAUUUUAACUUUUAGAAUAACUACAGUCAGCACUUUUGCAAAACUGAUUGGUUUAUGAAAAAAACACAUGCGAAUUUACACUGCACUUAUCAUUUAUGAGCCCAUUUCGUGGUGACAUGUGUAUGUUAUUAGCUUUAAUUAAGCUUGUUUGUCCAUUAAUAAAACCUGAUGAGUAUGGCCAUUGUCAGAUAAACAGAUGAUGCAGGAGCAGCUUGUUUGUCCAUUAGUAAAACCUGAUGAGUAUGGCCAUUGUCAGAUAAACAGAUGAUGCAGGAGCAACCUUUAUCUAGAAUGCUUAGAAGUAGUGGUUAUGUUGUUACCUUUGCGCUUUAUCAUCUCCCUCACAGUUACGUAAUAAUAAAUUAAAUUCUGUUGUGAUGGUCCCUAGGUGCUUGAAAAUAACAAGUCCAAAUAUUGAUGAUGCCAAAUGUUGUGAAAAACAAAUCGCAAAGGUAUGUCAUUAUUGUACUAUGUUAUGCCAAUUGUAUCUUGUGGAGAUGAUUCCUUGCAGGAGGAUGACAUUUAAACAGUCGAUGAAGUAAGGAGCACAAAGGUCCAGAGGUGAAUUUAUGCCCUGGUUAUGCAAAUCUGCUAGUAAGAUUGAAGCAAGCGAUGCAACCCGCUGAUGUGGAGCAAACUUUGAUUAACAAGUGAUGGUACAAGCUAAUGUAUGUAUGUUUUGGGCUGCUGAUGCACCAGUGUAGCAUGUUAUAAAAUUUCUGCAAGGUUACCUGGAUGUUGUGUUUA
Molecule: long non-coding RNA, 2820 nt
Organism: Triticum dicoccoides
Lineage: Eukaryota; Viridiplantae; Streptophyta; Magnoliopsida; Poales; Poaceae
Exons: 5
Source: RefSeq, a predicted model, not a curated record